This 722-nucleotide long non-coding RNA is filed under the name Felis catus (domestic cat). RNAcentral describes it as "lncRNA (ENSFCAG00000049989.1)". Lineage: Eukaryota; Metazoa; Chordata; Mammalia; Carnivora; Felidae. The record is from RNAcentral.
AUGAACGAGCAACUGGGCUGCUGUUCCCGGUCACCGACGCACACGAAACGUUCAAUAAAUCCACCGAGGGCUGGCUCCUCGUACCUUCCUCCCCUGCCCCAGCUCCCCAGGCCCCACCUCCCCGGCAGGCUGGGAUCCACGUACUUUCGCCGAGAUGAAGUUUGGGGCUCCCCGGGCGGCCACGAGCCGCCCGCCGGCGUGAGGGCUGGCUCUGUUGUUGUUUUCCUCGGGCUGCUUCUGCCCGCGCCCCGGCUCCCGUGCCCCUCUCGGGCGGCGCUGCCUGUGUGUCGAGAGGUGCUGGUUGCAAACGCAGCCUGGCACCGGCUGGCCUACUACUCCCCAGCCCGGCCCCCAGCCUCCCGCCCGCAGGGCACUGCCUCCGCGCCCCCCGCCCCCCGCCGGCGCGGCCGCCGCGACCCUCGCCCCCGACCUCUCCCGACCCAAAGUUUUGGCGGAGGGGGAAAGUGCCCGGGGAGCGGAGCGGCCAGCGGCGGCUCCGGUCGCGCGGGGUUCCCUCCGUCUUCCUCAAGUCCACCCUACCGGCUGCCGCCGCCGCCGCCGCCGCCGCCGCUGCUCCUGCCGCGGAGUCCUUGGGGCUGCAGCCCGGCGGCUCGCAAAUUUGAUGAUCAAACAAAAGUGGAGUUUACAAGUGAAAACAGGUAAUUUUGGAAGGAUAUGGAAUGGCUCUUAGAAAUAAAAGAAAAGCUAAGGAACUUAUCCCA